UGAUGUUUAUAUUUGAGGCGCAUUAUGAAUAUAAAUACAAAUCAUACUUGGUGGUGGAAUUUCUCAAACUUACGUUCGUGAACCAUCCCUUGGUAUGUAUAACUUAUAUAAAAAAGGCUUGUC
Molecule: regulatory RNA element, 123 nt
Organism: Winogradskyella sp. RHA_55
Lineage: Bacteria; Pseudomonadati; Bacteroidota; Flavobacteriia; Flavobacteriales; Flavobacteriaceae
Rfam family: Bacteroidete tryptophan peptide leader RNA
Source: Rfam